GACGAACGCUGGCGGCGUGCUUAACACAUGCAAGUCGAACGGAAAGGCCCUGCUUUUGUGUGGUUCUCGAGUGGCGAACGGGUGAGUAACACGUGAGUAACCUUCCCUGGGCUUUGUGAUGACUGCAGGAGACUGGUGCUAAUACCUGAUAGGAGCUCCUGCUGCAUGGUGGUGGUUGGAAAGUUUCGGCUGUGGGGGAUGUACUCGCGGCUUAUCAGCUUGUUGGUGGGGUAGUGGCUUACCAAGGCUUUGACGGGUAGCCGGCAUGAGAGGGUGACCGGCCACAUUGGGACUGAGAUACGGACCAGACGCCUACGGGAGGCAGCAGUGGGGAAUAUUGCACAAUGGGCGGAAGCCUGAUGCAGCAAUGCCGCGUGCGGGAUGCCGGCCUUCGGGUUGUAAACCGCUUUAGCCUGUGACGAAGCGUGAGUGACGGUAAUGGGUAAAGAAGCACCGGCUAACUACGUG
This 468-nucleotide ribosomal RNA is filed under the name uncultured bacterium. RNAcentral describes it as "partial 16S ribosomal RNA". It matches the Rfam family "Bacterial small subunit ribosomal RNA", at positions 28 to 507 of the family's 1533-position model. The record is from RNAcentral.